GUUAUUAGCCUCAUUUUAUGGUCAUUCUCUAAAUUUUCACAAGUACUUGCUCUUAUGUCAUGAACUCUUAAAAAGGGAGUGAAUUGAAUGUGGUUUUGGGUGACAUACAGAUACUAUAUUCAAACUUUUAUCCAAAUGGAUCGAUGAAACUGUACGAGUUCAUAGCAAUAGUAACAGGGGCAAUGAUUAUUCUGUCUCAGCUUCCAACCUUCCACUCUCUUAGACAUGUCAAUCUGGCCUCUCUGCUUCUCAGCUUGGGCUACGCCUUUCUUGUGGUUACUGCUUGUAUCAUUGCAGCAACCAGAAAAGAAGCUGGAUCAAGGGACUACAGCUUAGAAUCGUCACCAAAAUCAAGGAUGUUCAGCGCCUUCACAUCCAUCUCCAUUUUAGCAGCCAUUUUUGGGAACGGAAUCCUCCCUGAAAUCCAAGCAACUCUGGCAGCUCCGGCUAGUGGGAAGAUGGUGAAAGGGCUUUCCAUGUGUUACACCGUCAUAUUCCUAACCUUCUACGCCAUUGCUGUGUCUGGAUAUUGGGUGUUUGGGAACAGGGCUACCCCCAAUAUCUUGCAGAGCUUGAUGCCCGACACUGGGCCUUCUCUUGCGCCCACUUGGAUCUUGGGCCUCGCUGUUAUUUUUGUUCUUCUUCAACUCCUAGCCAUUGCCCUGGUUUAUUCACAAGUGGCAUAUGAGAUAAUGGAGAAGCAAUCAGCUGAUGUAAAGAAAGGGUUGUUUUCCAAAAGGAACCUUAUUCCAAGGAUCAUACUUCGGACAAUGUACAUGAUUAUGUGUGGAGUUUCUGCUGCAAUGCUUCCAUUCUUUGGAGACAUUAGUGCUGUAGUGGGUGCUAUUGGCUUCAUUCCUCUUGAUUUUGUUCUACCGAUGCUUCUCUACAACAUCACCCACAAGCCACCCAAAUCAUCCAUCACCUAUUGCACCAAUCUCGCCAUCAUCAUCGUCUUCACCGGAGUCGGGAUCAUGGGUGCUUUCUCUUCUAUAAGAAAACUCGUUCUUGAUGCCCAAAAAUUCAAGCUCUUCAGCAAUGAUGUCGUUGAUUGAUAUCGAGGUUAGUCAUUGUGAUUGGGUUGUUGUAUGUUAGAAAGAGUGAGAAUGUUGAAAUUACUCCCCAAUGAGAUGUAUGGUUAAAAUUUAGUGACAAAAAAUAUGUAUUUUUUUUAUUACAAUAUUGUUACAAAUAGUAUAAGAGCUAGAUACUAGAGCGUGUGUUAGUGAGGACAUUGGACCUCCAAGAAGGUAGAUGAGAUCCCACGUUAGUUUGAGAAGGGAAUGAAGCAUUUAUAAAAGUGUGAAAACCUCUCGUGAGCCUGACAAUUAUAUGUAAUCGGUCAAAGUAGACAGUAUCUAUUACCAGUAAGUUUGGGCUGUUAUAGCAAUAAGUUUGGGUUGUUCUA
Molecule: non-coding RNA, 1408 nt
Organism: Cucurbita pepo subsp. pepo (vegetable marrow)
Lineage: Eukaryota; Viridiplantae; Streptophyta; Magnoliopsida; Cucurbitales; Cucurbitaceae
Source: RefSeq, a predicted model, not a curated record